Molecule: transfer RNA, 60 nt
Filed under: Salpa fusiformis
Lineage: Eukaryota; Metazoa; Chordata; Thaliacea; Salpida; Salpidae
Description: tRNA-Cys
Source: RNAcentral
GUUAGAUCCCGAGACCGAGAGCUGCAAACUUUUGGUAUAAGAAUAUAUUCUUUCUGAUGU